Molecule: long non-coding RNA, 283 nt
Filed under: Dasypus novemcinctus (nine-banded armadillo)
Lineage: Eukaryota; Metazoa; Chordata; Mammalia; Cingulata; Dasypodidae
Description: lncRNA (ENSDNOG00000051580.1)
Source: RNAcentral
UGUUUCCCUGGAGCAAAAGUCCUUCUUAAAUGCUAUGUGUAUUUUCUAUAUUCCUUGCAGAGAGAAGUCCAAAGAGUUGUCACCUUGUCUUUGGAGUCCAAUUCUGAAGUCUAUCAACCCUGCACCCUCAGAGCUACUCAGGAUUUCAGGUUUACUCACCUUCUCUUUCUCUGGUUGUGAGUGAAAAUCCAGAGGAAGGUAGGCGCCAGCUGAGGUACUGAAAAUGCAAUCACAGGUGAGUAUGAAAUUCUUCAACUGAAAUUGCACUUCUCUUGCCAGGAGU